Molecule: ribosomal RNA, 1372 nt
Filed under: uncultured bacterium
Lineage: Bacteria
Description: bacterial SSU rRNA
Rfam family: Bacterial small subunit ribosomal RNA
Source: RNAcentral
GAUAAACGCUGGCGGCGUGCCUAAUACAUGCAAGUCGAGCGAACGGACGAGAAGCUUGCUUCUCUGAUGUUAGCGGCGGACGGGUGAGUAACACGUGGAUAACCUACCUAUAAGACUGGGAUAACUUCGGGAAACCGGAGCUAAUACCGGAUAAUAUUUUGAACCGCAUGGUUCAAAAGUGAAAGACGGUCUUGCUGUCACUUAUAGAUGGAUCCGCGCUGCAUUAGCUAGUUGGUAAGGUAACGGCUUACCAAGGCAACGAUGCAUAGCCGACCUGAGAGGGUGAUCGGCCACACUGGAACUGAGACACGGUCCAGACUCCUACGGGAGGCAGCAGUAGGGAAUCUUCCGCAAUGGGCGAAAGCCUGACGGAGCAACGCCGCGUGAGUGAUGAAGGUCUUCGGAUCGUAAAACUCUGUUAUUAGGGAAGAACAUAUGUGUAAGUAACUGUGCACAUCUUGACGGUACCUAAUCAGAAAGCCACGGCUAACUACGUGCCAGCAGCCGCGGUAAUACGUAGGUGGCAAGCGUUAUCCGGAGUUAUUGGGCGUAAAGCGCGCGUAGGCGGUUUUUUAAGUCUGAUGUGAAAGCCCACGGCUCAACCGUGGAGGGUCAUUGGAAACUGGAAAACUUGAGUGCAGAAGAGGAAAGUGGAAUUCCAUGUGUAGCGGUGAAAUGCGCAGAGAUAUGGAGGAACACCAGUGGCGAAGGCGACUUUCUGGUCUGUAACUGACGCUGAUGUGCGAAAGCGUGGGGAUCAAACAGGAUUAGAUACCCUGGUAGUCCACGCCGUAAACGAUGAGUGCUAAGUGUUAGGGGGUUUCCGCCCCUUAGUGCUGCAGCUAACGCAUUAAGCACUCCGCCUGGGGAGUACGACCGCAAGGUUGAAACUCAAAGGAAUUGACGGGGACCCGCACAAGCGGUGGAGCAUGUGGUUUAAUUCGAAGCAACGCGAAGCACCUUACCAAAUCUUGACAUCCUUUGACAACUCUAGAGAUAGAGCCUUCCCCUUCGGGGGACAAAGUGACAGGUGGUGCAUGGUUGUCGUCAGCUCGUGUCGUGAGAUGUUGGGUUAAGUCCCGCAACGAGCGCAACCCUUAAGCUUAGUUGCCAUCAUUAAGUUGGGCACUCUAAGUUGACUGCCGGUGACAAACCGGAGGAAGGUGGGGAUGACGUCAAAUCAUCAUGCCCCUUAUGAUUUGGGCUACACACGUGCUACAAUGGACAAUACAAAGGGCAGCGAAACCGCGAGGUCAAGCAAAUCCCAUAAAGUUGUUCUCAGUUCGGAUUGUAGUCUGCAACUCGACUACAUGAAGCUGGAAUCGCUAGUAAUCGUAGAUCAGCAUGCUACGGUGAAUACGUUCCCGGGUCU